This 225-nucleotide unclassified non-coding RNA is filed under the name uncultured fungus. RNAcentral describes it as "sequence contains ITS1, 5.8S rRNA gene". The stretch from base 177 to 225 matches the Rfam family "5.8S ribosomal RNA", at positions 1 to 49 of the family's 154-position model. The record is from RNAcentral. Lineage: Eukaryota; Fungi.
UCUCCGUAGGUGAACCUGCGGAGGGAUCAUUACUGAGUGAGGGUCUCCGGGCCCGACCUCCAACCCUUUUGUGAUCCACCUCGUUGCUUCGGGGGCGACCCUGCCUUCGUGCGAGGCGCCCCCGGAGGCUCAUCAAACACUGCAUCUUUGCGUCGGAGUUAAAGUAAAUUAAACAAAACUUUCAACAACGGAUCUCUUGGUUCCAGCAUCGAUGAAGAACGCAGC